GAUAACGGUUAGAAAUGACCGCUAAUACCGCGUAAGCGCACGAGGCCGCAUGGCCCCGGGCGAAAAACUCCGGUGGUAUGGGAUGGGCCCGCGUCUGAUUAGCUGGUUGGCGGGGUAAAGGCCCACCAAGGCGACGAUCAGUAGCCGACCUGAGAGGGUGGCCGGCCACAUUGGGACUGAGACACGGCCCAAACUCCUACGGGAGGCAGCAGUGGGGAAUAUUGCGCAAUGGGGGAAACCCUGACGCAGCAACGCCGCGUGAGUGAGGAAGUAUCUCGGUAUGUAAAGCUCUAUCAGCGGGGAAGAAGGAAGACGGUACCCGACUAAGAAGCCCCGGCUAACUACGUGCCAGCAGCCGCGGUAAUACGUAGGGGGCGAGCGUUAUCCGGAUUUACUGGGUGUAAAGGGAGCGUAGACGGCAGCGCAAGUCUGGAGUGAAAUGCCGGGGCCCAACCCCGGAACUGCUUUGGAAACUGUGCGGCUCGAGUGCGGGAGAGGUAGGCGGAAUUCCUAGUGUAGCGGUGAAAUGCGUAGAUAUUAGGAGGAACACCAGUGGCGAAGGCGGCUUACUGGACCGUAACUGACGUUGAGGCUCGAAAGCGUGGGGAGCAACAGGAUUAGAUACCCUGGUAGUCCACGCCGUAAACGAUGAUUACUAGGUGU
This 663-nucleotide ribosomal RNA is filed under the name uncultured bacterium. Its description in RNAcentral is "bacterial SSU rRNA". It matches the Rfam family "Bacterial small subunit ribosomal RNA", at positions 142 to 823 of the family's 1533-position model. The record is from RNAcentral.